AUGACGAGGCACUACGGUGCUGAAGCAACAAAUGCCCUGCUUCCAGGAAAAGCCUCUAAGCAUCAGGUAACAUCAAAUCGUACCCCAAACCGACACAGGUGGUCAGGUAGAGAAUACCAAGGCGCUUGAGAGAACUCGGGUGAAGGAACUAGGCAAAAUGGUGCCGUAACUUCGGGAGAAGGCACGCUGAUAUGUAGGUGAAGUCCCUCGCGGAUGGAGCUGAAAUCAGUCGAAGAUACCAGCUGGCUGCAACUGUUUAUUAAAAACACAGCACUGUGCAAACACGAAAGUGGACGUAUACGGUGUGACGCCUGCCCGGUGCCGGAAGGUUAAUUGAUGGGGUCAGCGCAAGCGAAGCUCUUGAUCGAAGCCCCGGUAAACGGCGGCCGUAACUAUAACGGUCCUAAGGUAGCGAAAUUCCUUGUCGGGUAAGUUCCGACCUGCACGAAUGGCGUAAUGAUGGCCAGGCUGUCUCCACCCGAGACUCAGUGAAAUUGAACUCGCUGUGAAGAUGCAGUGUACCCGCGGCAAGACGGAAAGACCCCGUGAACCUUUACUAUAGCUUGACACUGAACAUUGAGCCUUGAUGUGUAGGAUAGGUGGGAGGCUUUGAAGUGUGGACGCCAGUCUGCAUGGAGCCGACCUUGAAAUACCACCCUUUAAUGUUUGAUGUUCUAACGUUGACCCGUAAUCCGGGUUGCGGACAGUGUCUGGUGGGUAGUUUGACUGGGGCGGUCUCCUCCUAAAGAGUAACGGAGGAGCACGAAGGUUGGCUAAUCCUGGUCGGACAUCAGGAGGUUAGUGCAAUGGCAUAAGCCAGCUUGACUGCGAGCGUGACGGCGCGAGCAGGUGCGAAAGCAGGUCAUAGUGAUCCGGUGGUUCUGAAUGGAAGGGCCAUCGCUCAACGGAUAAAAGGUACUCCGGGGAUAACAGGCUGAUACCGCCCAAGAGUUCAUAUCGACGGCGGUGUUUGGCACCUCGAUGUCGGCUCAUCACAUCCUGGGGCUGAAGUAGGUCCCAAGGGUAUGGCUGUUCGCCAUUUAAAGUGGUACGCGAGCUGGGUUUAGAACGUCGUGAGACAGUUCGGUCCCUAUCUGCCGUGGGCGCUGGAGAACUGAGGGGGGCUGCUCCUAGUACGAGAGGACCGGAGUGGACGCAUCACUGGUGUUCGGGUUGUCAUGCCAAUGGCACUGCCCGGUAGCUAAAUGCGGAAGAGAUAAGUGCUGAAAGCAUCUAAGCACGAAACUUGCCCCGAGAUGAGUUCUCCCUGACUCCUUGAGAGUCCUGAAGGAACGUUGAAG
Molecule: ribosomal RNA, 1301 nt
Filed under: Escherichia coli
Lineage: Bacteria; Pseudomonadati; Pseudomonadota; Gammaproteobacteria; Enterobacterales; Enterobacteriaceae
Description: partial 23S ribosomal RNA
Rfam family: Bacterial large subunit ribosomal RNA
Source: RNAcentral